This 162-nucleotide ribosomal RNA is filed under the name Siphanthera cordifolia. Its description in RNAcentral is "5.8S ribosomal RNA". It matches the Rfam family "5.8S ribosomal RNA". Rfam says of the family: 5.8S ribosomal RNA (5.8S rRNA) is a component of the large subunit of the eukaryotic ribosome. The record is from RNAcentral. Lineage: Eukaryota; Viridiplantae; Streptophyta; Magnoliopsida; Myrtales; Melastomataceae.
AACGACUCUCGGCAACGGAUAUCUCGGCUCUUGCAUCGAUGAAGAACGUAGCGAAAUGCGAUACUUGGUGUGAAUUGCAGAAUCCCGCGAACCAUCGAGUCUUUGAACGCAAGUUGCGCCCGAAGCCAUCCGGCAGAGGGCACGCCUGGCUGGGUGUCGUGA